Molecule: transfer RNA, 65 nt
Filed under: Tupaia belangeri (northern tree shrew)
Lineage: Eukaryota; Metazoa; Chordata; Mammalia; Scandentia; Tupaiidae
Description: transfer RNA-Lys
Source: RNAcentral
CACUAUGAAGCUAGUAGCGCUAACCUUUUAAGUUAGAGAUAGGGACUCCACAACCCCCAUAGUGA